AGCGAACGCUGGCGGCAGGCCUAACACAUGCAAGUCGAGCGCCCCGCAAGGGGAGCGGCAGACGGGAGAGUAACACGUGGGAACGUACCCUUCAGUUCGGAACAACCCAGGGAAACUUGGGCUAAUACCGGAUACGUCCGUAAGGAGAAAGAUUAUCGCUGAAGGAUCGGCCCGCGUCUGAUUAGCUAGUUGGUGAGGUAACGGCUCACCAAGGCGACGAUCAGUAGCUGGUCUGAGAGGAUGAUCAGCCUCACUGGGACUGAGACACGGCCCAGACUCCUACGGGAGGCAGCAGUGGGGAAUAUUGGACAAUGGGCGCAAGCCUGAUCCAGCCAUGCCGCGUGGAUGAUGAAGGCCCUAGGGUUGUAAAGUCCUUUCGGCGGGGAAGAUAAUGACGGUACCCGCAGAAGAAGCCCCGGCUAACUUCGUGCCAGCAGCCGCGGUAA
This 446-nucleotide ribosomal RNA is filed under the name uncultured bacterium. RNAcentral describes it as "partial 16S ribosomal RNA". It matches the Rfam family "Bacterial small subunit ribosomal RNA", at positions 29 to 523 of the family's 1533-position model. The record is from RNAcentral.